UACGGAGGGUGCGAGCGUUGAUCGAAAUUACUGGGCGUAAAGCGCAUGCAGGUGGUUUGUUAAGUCAGAUGUGAAAGCCCGGGGCUCAACCUCGGAAUUGCAUUUGAAACUGGUAGGCUAGAGUACUGUAGAGGGGGGUAGAAUUUCAGGUGUAGCGGUGAAAUGCGUAGAGAUCUGAAGGAAUACCGGUGGCGAAGGCGACCCCCUGGACAGAUACUGACACUCAGAUGCGAAAGCGUGGGGAGCAAACAGG
Molecule: ribosomal RNA, 253 nt
Filed under: uncultured bacterium
Lineage: Bacteria
Description: partial 16S ribosomal RNA
Rfam family: Bacterial small subunit ribosomal RNA
Source: RNAcentral